UAGCCCAGCCUGGUCUUGAACUUUGGGGCUCAAGCUAUCUGCUUACCUUGGCCUCUCUAGCUAGGAUUACAGCAUGAGCCACUGUACCCGGCCUCAGUAUUAGAUUUUAGAGUCUUGCUGUUUCAACAGUUUUGUGAAAUGUAUGGGCCAAUGCUUGACAAAUUGUAUUAAUGUAACCACUGACCCAGAUUCUUUAAAAUUCUUUUUUAAAAGAGAGGUGUUUCUUUCUUCUUCAAAGAUUAUUAAAUUGUGGGAAUCAGUCUAAUAAAUUAUUUUCGAAUUCUUAAUUUUGUUUUUAAAAUGAAUGCAUUCUCAGAUAAUGUCUUUCUUCUGAGAGAAUCUGGUGUGUGUUAGAUGUGUAGAAUGCAGCUGUCCUUUUUGAUAUGUAGAAAAUCUUAAGGUUGACAUACUUGGAAUCACAAAAGGAAGCAUAGAGAGAUCUAGCAAUUACUCAUUUUUAAGAUGUUACUACUUUCUAAGUAGUUCUGAAAAUAAGUAUAUAUUGUAGAAAAUUGGGACAAAUUGUAUUAAGUCCAGAGAAAUAAAUUUCAAGAUUUAUGUUCUAUGCAUUACUUGAACUCUAACUCCCAUCAGGGAGGCUAGAUAGCUUUCUUUGUUUUGUAUUUUAAAACAGAUUUGUUUUCUAAAGGUAAAAAGUUUUUUAUGUUAAUAGCCAGCCAAUAGUUAAAUUCUUUAUGGCAACAAAUUCUUCAUGGCA
Long non-coding RNA from Sapajus apella (tufted capuchin), 718 nucleotides. RefSeq lists it as uncharacterized. The record is from RefSeq and is a predicted model, not a curated record. The transcript is spliced from 3 exons. NCBI's taxonomy places the organism in Eukaryota, Metazoa, Chordata, Mammalia, Primates, Cebidae.